RNAcentral lists this transfer RNA (71 nucleotides) under Marmota monax (woodchuck). Its description in RNAcentral is "tRNA.Val". The record is from RNAcentral. Lineage: Eukaryota; Metazoa; Chordata; Mammalia; Rodentia; Sciuridae.
GAGGCUGUAGCUCAGUGGUAAAGCACUUGCCUAACAUGUAUGAGGCACUGGGUUUGAUCCUCAACACCACA